Molecule: ribosomal RNA, 492 nt
Filed under: uncultured bacterium
Lineage: Bacteria
Description: partial 16S ribosomal RNA
Rfam family: Bacterial small subunit ribosomal RNA
Source: RNAcentral
AGUGAACGCUGGCGGUAGGCCUAACACAUGCAAGUCGAACGGCAGCACAGUAAGAGCUUGCUCUUACGGGUGGCGAGUGGCGGACGGGUGAGGAAUACAUCGGAAUCUACUUUUUCGUGGGGGAUAACGUAGGGAAACUUACGCUAAUACCGCAUACGACCUACGGGUGAAAGCAGGGGAUCUUCGGACCUUGCGCGAUUGAAUGAGCCGAUGUCGGAUUUGCUAGUUGGCGGGGUAAAGGCCCACCAAGGCGACGAUCCGUAGCUGGUCUGAGAGGAUGAUCAGCCACACUGGAACUGAGACACGGUCCAGACUCCUACGGGAGGCAGCAGUGGGGAAUAUUGGACAAUGGGCGCAAGCCUGAUCCAGCCAUACCGCGUGGGCGAAGAAGGCCUUCGGGUUGUAAAGCCCUUUUGUUGGGAAAGAAAAGCAGCAGGUUAAUACCCCGCUGUUCUGACGGUACCCAAAGAAUAAGCACCGGCUAACUUCGUG